Ixodes scapularis (black-legged tick) is the source of this 1286-nucleotide long non-coding RNA. RefSeq lists it as uncharacterized. NCBI's taxonomy places the organism in Eukaryota, Metazoa, Arthropoda, Arachnida, Ixodida, Ixodidae. The record is from RefSeq and is a predicted model, not a curated record. The transcript has 4 exons.
CAGAGGCGGCACCAAGGACCCGCUUACAAAAGAGGCACACACGGCAUCGGCAGCGGCAGUCGGCGACGGAGUUGUAUGCAGACAAUAACCACCUGACUCUGCAGCGGCCUCGUCCCAAAAAAGCUUGAAAUAUCCGUUGUUCGGCCUAUAUACAAGAAAGCUACACGGGUCAACAAGUACCGGUUACGUACUGGCGCCGGAUCGCAAAAAGCCUGCUACGCCAAAACUGACAGUCCUACGGCUGCGCUGUUACGUUCAACAUCCUCAAACAACCGUGAAACUCACCCAUACAGCAGCCAACUCGCCCAGACUACAGUUCCUUGAAGACGCUUCACAACAAAGCAAACCAAAUCUCCAACGUGCGGAGGCCCAGUGACUCGUCGUGGAAGCGAAUGAAGUGAAUGUGGAUGUGUUCUUUUCUCACUUAAUUUUCUCAUUUUCUUUAUUUUAUAUUUCUUGUAUCUUGCUUCUUUUAAUUUAUACCUUGUUUCAUCAAUGUACCUCUAUAGUGCAUUCAAUGUAUCAAAUAUUAUAAGGAUGUUGUGAUCGAGUGGAUGAGCAAGACAAAAUAAUAAAGAAUAGUUGAUGGUCAGCUUUGUGUAUAUGUGCCUCAUUGUGCAAUUGUUAAAUUUUCAAGCUGUUUCUGCAUAAUCAUGUACAGAACAGCACGUGCUUCGUUAUGUCAGUGAUCGUUAGCGUAAGUCCCUAAGCAACAAUAAAAUAGUCGCAAGCCCCGCUGGACCAACACGGAUUGAGACAGGUGUAAUGCGAGUCUCCAGGAAAAUAUUUCAAUUCAAUUUCGUUUUAAUUUUUAUGUUUCCAACACAUUGUUGGAGGCCCUCAAAUGAAAAGCUCUCACAGAGAGCUUGAUACUGUCUGGGAGCCUGUACAAGGAGCAGCGUUUCAGUCCUUUAAAUUUACGUGGCACGUCGUCACAUGAAUUUACAUAGCCUAGUUUUGACGCUCUUCGCAGCUAAUUUAUAAAGAAACAAUCAGUUGCAGCACACAAAUAUGUUUAUAUGUAAAGUAAUAUAAUAAAUUUCAAGGACUGUGUUCCUAACAAAGUCCGUAAACAACGUCACAAGACAACCGUGGUUUCUUUUUUUCUCGAAAGCGGUGUUGAGUUUGCUGUUUCCUGGAAACCGAUGAAUCAUAUAUUGAAUUAAACAUAUUUUUUUCUCAGUAUUUUCGGUUUUCAGUUCUGUGUGUUUUUGAAUGGCCAGUGGGGUAUCACAAACUCUGAACUGACGGCAUAUAUACAAAUAUAUAUUCCGUGUGUUUUGGCG